Molecule: unclassified non-coding RNA, 115 nt
Organism: Aotus nancymaae (Ma's night monkey)
Lineage: Eukaryota; Metazoa; Chordata; Mammalia; Primates; Aotidae
Rfam family: Y RNA
About the family: Y RNAs are components of the Ro ribonucleoprotein particle (Ro RNP), in association with Ro60 and La proteins. The Y RNAs and Ro60 and La proteins are well conserved, but the function of the Ro RNP is not known. In humans the RNA component can be one of four small RNAs -- hY1, hY3, hY4 and hY5.
Source: Ensembl
GGUUGGUCCGAAGGUGGUAGUGGGUUAUCUCAAUUGAUUGUUCACAGUUAGUUACAGAUCGAACUCCUUGUUCUACUCUUUCCCCCUUCUCACUAUUGCACUUGACUAGUCUUUU